Molecule: long non-coding RNA, 4023 nt
Organism: Falco peregrinus (peregrine falcon)
Lineage: Eukaryota; Metazoa; Chordata; Aves; Falconiformes; Falconidae
Exons: 2
Source: RefSeq, a predicted model, not a curated record
UGGAGCUGGCUAGUACUUUAGAUCACAGCUCUAAUCGGUUGGACUGACUUAGACAGUAAAUCACUUUAGCAGCGCUAAUAACACCAAGUGACAGGUAUAGUAAACCCUCUAUUGCAGAAAUAACCUGGUCCUGCUGCUUCUUUGACUGGGGUUGGUGCUUCUGCUCUGGUUUGUUUAUUAAAGCUCCUUCACCAAAAGUCGCCUGGGUGGCUGCUCCGACUCAGCCAUUGAAAUGGCUGUUCUGCCAUUCCCAGCCUGGCUUGGGCUCUUUUUAUAGCCUGCUAUAAAAUUGUUUAUUUUUGCACCUGUUUACGAAGGCUUUUCGGCCACAGGGGUCUCAUGAUGUUGUUUUCAUGGCUUCUGGAGCAGGGCCGCUCUGUUGUUGCUAGAAAUAAUUGCUGUUAAUUAAUUCUUUGCUGGUUUUUCUCUGGCAAAGCGUAUGGAAAUAAGCAAGUGAGCAGUAUGCUCUGUAUCUUGAUGUUGUGGGAGCUUUUAGGAGGCAUGCAGUGACAUCCAAACAAUCCCACCAGCAGCUAGAAGAAGGGUAGGACGUGGUCCUCAACUUUCUGUGGACAACAUUGAUUGGGGGGAGGCUCAAUUACUAUCUCCAGUUGUUCAGCAUCUUCCCUCAGGCCAUUCUCUUUCUAGAGAGAAACCACAACUUUGUUUCCACCGAACGCUUUAUUCAAAUUGCAGCUGAGCAAUGUUACAGAAAGCGAUUUGGUCUCAGCCGUCUGAGCCGGACCGACAGCUGAAAGCAGCAGUCCGUGAUACAAGACUGCCUGCUGGGACCUACAAUUGCACUAUUUUUUGCUUUUCCUCUGUGCCCUUUUAAAAGGGUUUGUCUUCUUUCUGAGGGACUUGGGCUGUGCUGCAGAGACUUCCAGACCAGAAGUGUUGUGCUGGGCUCCAGCCCCGCUGUCCUGUGGUCCUGCCUACAGUGUCUCUGCCAUCCUCUUUGCACUGGGUCCCUGGCAGGAGCAGCCAGCAGUUCCCAGGACCCCAAAGCAGGCAGCAGUUGGCUGGGCUGCUUCCUUCUCCACCCUGCAACAGGACAUCAUGCCAUCCAGACUCCUGCUUGAAUGUCUCCAAGCUGUUCCUGGAAGGAUGAGCCAUUUGAGCCAGGAAAAGAUUAAAUUAUUGGAAUUGAGCAAAAGCAAUUUCCGUGAUAAGUGUUUGCCCUGUGGUUUGCACAUCGAACCUGUCCUGCUGCUGUCUGUGACUCAGGCUGAAUUGAUGAUGGCCCUCUCUGAAUAAUCACUGUGACUUUUCUUGGAGGAGUUGAUAGCCCAACAUAUGAAUAUCUUCACACAUAUGUUGGCUUUCUCCAUACAGAACUUCCCCAGGCCUAAGUCUUUUAAUUAGUAUAAAUCAGGAAUAAUCCUAAAAGCAGUGGUCUCCCACUGGUGUAGGUGAAUUAUUGACUCCAUUGGUCUGAUUUCAUCUUCUGUGAGAGCUGAAGAGAGCCUGCCAUUAGGCUGUAGAAAUCAGCAUAGCUCCAGUUGGGUGCCUGGUGACUGCCAUGGAGCCAAUUGCCCCAGCUGCCCCCUCCGCGUCGUAUUUUACACUGUAUGAAAUGGGUUUGGUACAACAGCAACGGGACUGUAGCAGUGAGGGUUUUUUCUUGCAUUGAGGUUUCCCCCUGUGCUGUGGAGUAGACGUACAAAUAUCCAACAUCCUCAAGCUAUCAAUUACCCCCUCACUCCCUGGGAUGUCUCUUGGCUCCCAGCCACCCUGCUAGAGUGACUAAGCAGCCCCUGCGGCCAUGUACCGAUUUCCAAACCAGUCCAUUGCUGUGGUGAGCCUGGCCAGAGCGCAGGCAGAAGAGAAACUGAAAGGAUGUCCUGAGGACAUGACAGGCUGCCACAGAAAAGUGGUUGGAGCUACUUUCCAUUUUAUUGUGGCACGGCUGUGAGAGAGCAGUUCUCAGCUCUAGGGUGUUGCAGAAGCCUAAAAAAAUGGUGUGUAGGUCAAUCAGCAGAGAGAUUUUGCUCUGCAUCCCCCUUCUUGUCGUCAUUCUCCCCAUUUCUUCUGCCUCACCGAGGAUCUCUGUGGCCUGGUGUGCAUGAUAUUACCUGCCCAGCUAUUGCAUCAUGGGAGUGAAAGACUCCCCCUUUUUCACAGUGGUAACACUGAGCUUUGCAACAAAGUUAACAAAUAUGCAAAUGUAAGGAAACCCUGAUCUGCAAAUUACUUGGCAGUGAGGCACUUUUAGAGUUGCAUGAUGCCUUUCCUUCUUUGAGGGCCAGUGCAGGUGCAGAGCAGCUCUGCAGACAUAGGAUUUCACGUCUGUUAUUUCUGUACCCUUGCAUCAUUUUCUCUUGCAUCAUCAUCCUCUUCAAGUUGACCAACACAUCCUAACCACACAGAUGCAGUGCGUGUGCUUUUCCCUCUUCUACAGGAGAAAAAUCUCACACGGUUCAUAAAGCAAUUUGAUCAAAAUCAGAGAAAGUUGGCAUCAGUAUCAGGUUUUCAGUUCAAGAGUUUUUAAUUGCCCUGGUCUGAGCUUGCUGCUCUGUGGCAUUCCUCCCUUCCAGCUGUAGCCGCUCUCGCUUUAACUGGAUAACCCAGAAAAUUAGAUACACAUUUUUCUUAAAGGAAAAAUCUCUAGGAUUUUGGAUUCUUUCUUUUUUUUUUUUUCUUCUUUUGAACAGGAAACCAUACUGCAACGGAAACGAGCUGCUUUAGCAUGGGUGCGGGUGGCCAGUGCUAUGGCUUGUUCACAUAAACCUCCAGCUGCAAGAGCUGCCUCCCCUGCGGUGCUGAGGAAGCCUAAGGGAUCCAGCCUGGUGUGUCUAUUACUCUAGAGAGUUUUGCUUGAAUGCAGUUGCAGUAGCAUGAAUUAUUGAUAUUUCUGUUAAGGUUUGCUGUUCACACAGGAAUUUGUAACACUUCCCCCCGUUAUGCUGUGAAUGCACUCCUGGGUCACAUAAAGGGUUGAGUUUAACACCAUUUUACUUGCAUGGUUGUGACAUUGAUUUAGCCAUUUCAGGGCUGGGGCUGCAAAAUUAACUAAAAAACAAUGUAAGCAGCUCUUUCCUGCUGCAGUCUCAGGGUGAAAGAAGCUAAUAUGGAAGGGCAAGUAGAAGGUAUAGUUAUGUCUGUGCAUUUUCGGAGCAUCACCACAAAGCUGAGGAAAGGUUCCCAGGAAUUUCUGAGCAUCCUUUGCCCUGACCUCAGAGUCCAGCGUUUCCAGAGGCUGCCCUUGCUGCCACUGUGCUUAGCACCUUAGGAGAUCACAUUAAUAAUGUCCGUUUCUAAGGCAACAACCUUGUGAUUCAGAAAAGACAGAGUUAACAGCGUGUGUGUUUACAAACACAUUAUACACAUAAAUAUGUAUUUCUAUACAUAUGUAUAGAAAUUUAUAUCAGACUUAACAGGUCACUUAGCAGUAGAGAGACAGAAAGCAUCUGAAUGAGGGUGAUGUAUUGACAGCGAUAACUGGUCUCCAGUUUGGCCAGAGAAUUUGUGAGAGGUAAGAGCAAAUUCACGAAGCAUCCUCUUGGCAGGUCAUACCCCCAGGCAAAAUGUGGGGACAAGCUCAGACAAGGUGUCCACUUCUGUGGGCAUGGGCAGGAGGGGACAGUCCGACAUGGACAAGCCUGAGCAGCAGUGCCCGUCAGCCUCCCGGGAGCCCAGCCAGCCUUGCUGGGGCAGCCUUCGCCCUUUACCCUGUGUGGGAUGGUAGACUCUGACCCUGUCCCUGCUCAGCACCAGGAAUCACAAUCUUUAGAAGCCAAUGUCCACCAGGAGAGCCUCACUGCCUGCCCUGGAUCAGCACUGUGCUGACUGACACUGGAGCAACACCCAGCCUCUUAACCUUGGAUAAACCAGCAGUAAAUCCACAGACAUACGCGUAUAUAGUCUGGAGUAAUUGUGAUGGGACUUAAAUGCUGAGUACCGCUAUUGAUCGACCCUCGCUGGCCCUGUUCUCCUGCUCCGCCCGUCCUUUAUGAAAUGCUCCCCUCUCAUCAUUGACAACAAGCUCUGUUAUAUUUGAUUUUAUUACAAGAUAUAAAUUUC